UUAUGACGUUAUGAUGACGUCAUCACGUCACUGUUCAUCUUCUCCUCCAGCUGAGCACGGCCUGGUUCUGGAUAAGAAGAAAAAAAAAUUUUCCGCCCAAAAUUUCAUGCAUUUUUCGUCAAAAAUACAUAGAUUUCCAUCCUCAAACAUCAAUUCUUCAAUCCAAACCCAAAAAUUGCACAAAAAACCGCAUAAUAGCAAGAACCAAACAAGCCCUAAUUUUCGAAAUAUCAUCAAAUGAGCUCCAAAAAUCACAAAUUUUGAUGGGUUUUGCUCCAAACAACAUUCUCUAUAAGUUUCCAACAACAAUCGGGCUUGAAAACAGAGAAUCAACAUCAAACGAGAAAUAAAAUUUCAAAAAAAAAUGGCUUCCUCCACAGGAAACGGGAAACCCAAAAAUUAACCCAAAAUUGCAGCUCAAAUGUCAAUCAUGCAAGCUCUGAUACCAAUUGAUGAGAAUUUAAAUUGCAUAGGAUCACAUGUUGACAAUUAAGCAUGCAUUUAAUAGCAAAAUUCUUCCGUUACCUUGGUUCGUGCUUUGGGAAGCCAUUUCUGCUACCUUUGAUGUCCAAUAAUCUGCUUUCCGGGUGCGUGAUGCUCCGAGGAUGAACGAUCAAUGAGCUCUUCCCUUUAAUCCCCAAAAUUCAGUCCAAAGUGGAGUGUGUGCGUGUGUGGCCGGGAGUGUUCUUCAAAGAGAAGAAAAGAGAGAGUAGUACUCCUCCAAAAGCCCACACACCUCUAUAUAUAUAUAUAUAU
Molecule: long non-coding RNA, 756 nt
Filed under: Vitis vinifera (wine grape)
Lineage: Eukaryota; Viridiplantae; Streptophyta; Magnoliopsida; Vitales; Vitaceae
Description: long non-coding RNA (VVIN_LNC007309)
Source: RNAcentral